Molecule: transfer RNA, 73 nt
Filed under: Ursus americanus (American black bear)
Lineage: Eukaryota; Metazoa; Chordata; Mammalia; Carnivora; Ursidae
Also listed under: 1 other name
Rfam family: tRNA
About the family: Transfer RNA (tRNA) molecules are approximately 80 nucleotides in length.
Source: Rfam by way of RNAcentral
GCCUGUCUGGCUCAGUUGGUAGAGCAUGAAACUCUUGAUGUCAAGGUUGUGAGUUCGAACCCCACACUGGGUG